GAUGAACGCUGGCGGCGUGCCUAAUACAUGCAAGUCGAGCGAACAGACGAGGAGCUUGCUCCUCUGACGUUAGCGGCGGACGGGUGAGUAACACGUGGAUAACCUACCUAUAAGACUGGGAUAACUUCGGGAAACCGGAGCUAAUACCGGAUAAUAUAUUGAACCGCAUGGUUCAAUAGUGAAAGACGGUUUUGCUGUCACUUAUAGAUGGAUCCGCGCCGCAUUAGCUAGUUGGUAAGGUAACGGCUUACCAAGGCAACGAUGCGUAGCCGACCUGAGAGGGCGAUCGGCAACUCGGGAGCGAGGAAGCGGUCCAACCUCCUAAGGAGGCAGCAGUAGGGAAUCUUCCGCAAUGGGCGAAAGCCUGACGGAGCAACGCCGCGUGAGUGAUGAAGGUCUUCGGAUCGUAAAACUCUGUUAUUAGGGAAGAACAAAUGUGUAAGUAACUAUGCACGUCUUGACGGUACCGAAUCAGAAAGCCACGGCUAACUACGUG
Molecule: ribosomal RNA, 496 nt
Filed under: uncultured bacterium
Lineage: Bacteria
Description: partial 16S ribosomal RNA
Rfam family: Bacterial small subunit ribosomal RNA
Source: RNAcentral